UAUAUACUCCCUCCGUCCCAUAUUAAGUGACUCAAAUUUGGCCAAAUAUGGAUUUAUUUAUGCCUAAAAAACGUCUACAUACAUGUAAUAGAAAGUCACUUAAUAUGGGACAGAGGGAGUACAUG
Brachypodium distachyon (stiff brome) is the source of this 125-nucleotide non-coding RNA. NCBI's taxonomy places the organism in Eukaryota, Viridiplantae, Streptophyta, Magnoliopsida, Poales, Poaceae. The record is from Rfam.